Molecule: unclassified non-coding RNA, 242 nt
Filed under: plant metagenome
Description: partial contains small subunit ribosomal RNA, internal transcribed spacer 1, and 5.8S ribosomal RNA
Source: RNAcentral
UCUCCGUUGGUGAACCAGCGGAGGGAUCAUUACAGAGUUUUCACAACUCCCAACCCUUGCGAACCGUACCCAUUCUGUUCUCGUUGCUUCCGGCGGGGGGGACGGGGGGGCCCGAAACGGCCUCCCCGCCCCGCCCGCCGGGGGCGGCGGGCCCUACGAACCUUUAUAUCUCUACCACCAGAAACCGUCUGAGAAAACAAACAAAAUAAUCAAAACUUUCAACAACGGAUCUCUUGGCUCUG